Molecule: signal recognition particle RNA, 288 nt
Filed under: Purpureocillium lilacinum
Lineage: Eukaryota; Fungi; Ascomycota; Sordariomycetes; Hypocreales; Ophiocordycipitaceae
Description: Fungal signal recognition particle RNA
Rfam family: Fungal signal recognition particle RNA
Source: Rfam by way of RNAcentral
GGCUGUAAUGGCUCAACGGCGAAGCACCUCGCACUUAUUUCGCAAUUCAUUUGCCCUCCACCACCCGACCCCGUAAGAUCCCCCCCGUCGGCGCCCAGCCCGAACGCCGCGGUGGCCGCCCGCUCGCGCAGGCAACUCGCGACGUCGGUGCGUGCCCUAAGCACUUGGAGAUGACCCUUGAGGGAGGAUUCACUCUGCAGAGACCUCUCCCCCGUCGCGUGGCGGGCUGGAUCACGACCGCGGGGGGUUUGGGUUGGAGGGGCGAGAUGGAGAAUGCAACGCCUUCUU